Molecule: ribosomal RNA, 271 nt
Filed under: uncultured archaeon
Lineage: Archaea
Description: partial 16S ribosomal RNA
Rfam family: Archaeal small subunit ribosomal RNA
Source: RNAcentral
CAGCGCCACGAGUGGUAACCACGUUUAUUGGGCCUAAAGCGUCCGUAGCCGGCUUGGUAAAUCUUUUGUGAAAUUGUUCGGCUUAACCGAACAACGUGCAAGAGACACUGCCAGGCUUGAGACCGGGAGGAGUCAGAAGUAUUCCAGGGGGAGCGGUAAAAUGUUAUAAUCCCUGGAGGACUACCUGUGGCGAAGGCGUCUGACCAGAACGGAUCUGACGGUGAGGGACGAAAGCCAGGGGAGCAAUCCGGAUUAGAUACCCGAGUAGUCC